UACGGAGGAUCCAAGCGUUAUCCGGAAUCAUUGGGUUUAAAGGGUCCGUAGGCGGUUUUGGUAAGUCAGUGGUGAAAGCCCAUCGCUCAACGGUGGAACGGCCAUUGAUACUGCCAGACUUGAAUUAUUAGGAAGUAACUAGAAUAUGUAGUGUAGCGGUGAAAUGCUUAGAGAUUACAUGGAAUACCAAUUGCGAAGGCAGGUUACUACUAAUGGAUUGACGCUGAUGGACGAAAGCGUGGGUAGCGAACAGG
Molecule: ribosomal RNA, 254 nt
Filed under: uncultured bacterium
Lineage: Bacteria
Description: partial 16S ribosomal RNA
Rfam family: Bacterial small subunit ribosomal RNA
Source: RNAcentral